RNAcentral lists this long non-coding RNA (4319 nucleotides) under Xyrichtys novacula (pearly razorfish). The record is from RNAcentral. Lineage: Eukaryota; Metazoa; Chordata; Actinopteri; Labriformes; Labridae.
GUAAGAUUGGUGUUGAACAGAGUGUGACAGUCUAUGAGACAGAGUCAGAUACAAAAAUGUACUCUCACUGUAUACUGUUGGUCUGUGUAGCUGAGAUUUGUCAUAGGAAGUGUAGGAUUGACUGAGUCGCACUUACCCCUCCUCUCUCCACCAAUCUGAAGUGACAGAGAUGGAGACGGAGUGUUUCAGCAGAGGAAACCCAUCUGUCACCCUAGCAACUGGGGGAGAAGGAGGGGUAAUCCAACAGAGACACAGCACAGGCCUGUCAAUCAUGCCACCUCCUGGAGCUUCUGGUUGUGAAGGGAGAGGAUGAAGAGUGGAUCAGUAUUAAGGUAAGGACAGGCAGGAAGAAGAGGUGCGCAGUGACUAAAAUGUAACACAGAACAUUUGAUGAUAUAUUACUCUGUGCACCUGGACUGUUGUUAAACUCACUGAGCAUAACACAUGCUGAAUUGAAUUGCUUUUUGGAUCUCACAAAGUCAUGUCCAGAGAUAUUCUUGUUACUGCUUCAGAAUCAAUACUGAAAAAAAAUCAAUGUUUGAAAGAGAAAUAGCUCUCUGUUGGUUUAGAGUGAUCUUUUAAAGCUGGUCAAAGGUUCUUGGACAGAUGCCAUUUAAUAUAAACCUCUCAGAUUUGGAAGAGCCUUCAUUAUUUUUAACCCCGGGUAAUUUUUUGACAGACGAAACUAGGCUUAGACAUCAAGAACCAGUUUCAACUUGGACCCAGUUUUGAAUGCCUGAGAUUCGUGGAUUCAACAAGUCACACGAAUUUUGGUUCCACUUUUAGGUUCAUGACGGCUGCAAAAAUCUUUCGGGACUAAUAUUUAGAGAGAUCGACAGUAGCUGUCCAACAAAGUCUAACUCAUGGACUUGAAGUGUGGAUGUUCUGUUAUUAUUUGUGAAGUAGUACAUAAACAAAAUUGUGAGAGAAAUCAUGCAAAGAUAAUGACAUAGUGCAGAUGCAGUUGCACAAACAUUUCAGACAGUAUGGGGAAAACUGUCACAUCAUAUCACAUCAACAGACUCAUUUUCCAUUUAUAUGUAGAAUUGUUAUCUCUCUAUCCACCUACAUUGUACUGUACAAUUUGUAUCAAUCAUUUUGUACCAUGUCAUAUCAUAUUGUUUCUCAUCGCAUCAUGUUGCACCAUAUCACAUAGUAACGUAGAGAACAUAUUUUUCAUAUCAUUUCAUUAUCUUGUGUUUUCUACAAUAUUGUAUAGUUUUGUAAUUGAUUGUAUCCUAUUGAAUAGUACCACAUCAGUCUUAUGGUGUCCUGUUUAAAAGACUAUGGUGCCCUAAACUAAGUUGUUAAAGUUUAAUAUUGUGUAGAAUAGUAUAGUUACAGAAAAUUAAAACUAAAGUAAACGUUUUGGAUGAAGAAACAAGCUAGUGAUUUCAGGUGAUUCCGUGUUAUCAAAAAGAAGGAAACUAGAGAAAAAUGGGAAUUAUUAAUUUGUAUGAUGUAAAUACUAAAACAUGCCCACAUUACCAUGACAACUUAGCAAAGCUGACUUCAACUUUGAUGAAAAUAACAUGGUGGGAGUUCAUCUUCAGAACCACUUAGCUAUUUUGAUUCAGACUGAAAUUUCUCUUUCUUUAGAUCAGAUAACCUCAGUGUUACCUGAACAACAUUCCUUAUAAGAAAUCUUUAUAAAAUACCUCAACAUCCACUGGCGGAAAAUUUACAGCGAUUUAUUUAGGACAAAUUCAGACAGUUUUUGGUUCCUCCUUGAUUCAAUAUCUGGUGAUAUCUAAAAGUUGAAUUUUGUGGUUUUGAGUGAAAUCACUCCAGACACGAAUUAAAGGUUGAACAUAUGGCAGAUUGUGAUCUCUAACCUCUGCACCAAUAAAGUUGUGUUUAAUACUCAUGAGUAGGACCUAAAACUGUCAAUCGUUUAUUUUCAAAAAGUGUGUUUGUGGUGUUGAAUGCAAAAAGGAUUUGUAGUUUAGUGUACCACUGAAACAGGAGGAUGAAAAAAAGAAAAUGCUCCACAGCUUUUGUUAUUUAUAAGGCAUGUGCUGACAAUAAUAUGCAGUAAUGAAAUAUCUGCCACUGAACAUAAUAACUUCUUCUUUGAUCUCAACCUGUUAACGUUUGGUGAUAGUAAUAUUUCAAGCAUUAGUUCCUCCACAACAUGUGGUCUGAAGCCUUAGGAGAUACAGUACAUGGUACCAAGACUACAAGCUGUCAACAUGGAUUCCAGGAGCUUCACAGUGACCUUGUAUGAACCGAUAAGUCCUGUAUCCUCCCGCUCCAUCUCAGUGUCAGCAUAAGACAUGACACAUGUCAAAAACCGUUAGGCACAGCCAUGUCAGAGGAGCUCAAAUAAAACACACACGUGCCCUGAAAUUAUUGUAUGCAAAGACAAGCAACAGAAAAAGAUUCAUGAGGCUGUUUCACAAACCAGGGUACUCUUCUUCUCUCUUUAGUCCUGCUAAAUAUUGCAGCUGGCAUGGAUUAGGAUCAGCUCUGUUUGUGUUUCUGCGUCUUUGAUGAGGAGUGCAGACGUCAACGGAAGCAUCAAAUAAUCCUGUUCUUGUCUGAAAACAUCCGAGGAGCUGGACUAUUGCCAUACAUGAGUAAUUUUAUGCUUCAUGAAGUGAAAUUUCUUGGUAUGAUUUAUUAUUGUUUAUGACAGGAGGACAAAUCUCAACCCCACGUCCUUCAGCAGAGCACAUUUCCCACUAUGAGGCCAUGUAAUCCUCUGAGCCCUGCUGAUCCCAGAACCACAGGGAGACCAGUAGAAACCCAUAACCCAGCCCCGUUCUGGGCAGCCAAAACAGAUCCUUUCCCCCUAGGAGUCCUGAUACAGACACAGAGGGGAUAAUGGCCUCCUUUUGAAAAGUCAGUGUGUGGUACAUUGCCAUAACAUCAGUAAUCAAAUCUUCUUUACUGACCAAAUAGCAGGGUUAAGAACUGUGUGGAAGGCCAAAUCUGGAUGCUUGUCAUCAUUUUCCUCUUAAGUUACUAAAAGCAUGAAAACCAAGCUGCAGAUAUAAGUCAAGGAUUUUGACUGCAGCCUUCAUUUCCAGAACUUAUGACUCAACUUAGACUCAAGCACUUUUGACCCAGACUUGAACUUGAGCACUGAAUGUAUUAAGACUUUAAAGCUGAAGAGAAGAAUUCAAACUUCUUUAUUGAGACAGACUUUUAUUCUUUUGUUGUUAUUUUAGUAUAAGCCCUUUUGAUAGAGGGAUGGCAUGUGUGUGUUCACCUGCAUGCACAAUCAAAUCACGUGUUUUCUUGUUGAACGACAACUCCUGCCAGGAUGCUUUGGGAGGUGCCAAUUGUGUGUUAUGCUCGACAAUAUUUUGUAAUGAGUGCCAGGAAAGGCAGCGCAACAUGUUCAGUACAUAUUUAAGAAGCCAUGAAAAAAGGCAAGGGACAAAUUCAAACUUUUACAGACAUCUGUCCAGCAUACAGCCAGACAAAGACAAUGAGAUGCUGUAGGUAGCACGUUUAUAGUAUGUUACUGUUGACACAGUCAUGUCAGUAACCAAGAGGAAUCAACCCAGUGAUCUCCAGAGUUUGGGCUGUAAAAUUCUGAUUGAUAGCAUUGAUAGUGUAAUUUCAAGUCACCUGCAGUAACCCAACUUCAUAAUACAAGAACUUUAUUUAUCCCCGAAGGGCAAUUCAUUAAAAUCAACUUCAUGUAUAAGAAUUGAUGAGUGUGUCCUCUUACUGAAAUGCAUUUACGCACAAUGCACAGCACUGUUACUCGUGCCAGACAUGCUGACAGGAUCUGUCAGCAUCUAAUGUAAAUCGAUGAAAUGUGUUUUCAAUUCAUCCCAAAGGUCCCACACAGUCAGCUGAGGUUUAUACAGUGAAGAGUUUCAGGCAAAGCAGCGGUCCUCCUUUCAAUAAACAACAUCAAUAAUGGGGAUUCAACUCUAACCCGCAGACUCAGAUUCUUUUAUGGACUUGACUCAGACUUUAACUCUGAGGAUUCAACUUGGACUCAACAUUUAGUGACUCAACACUGGCAUGCACAGAAGAGGAGAGAAAAAGUCAUAGUGAUAAAGGUUUCUCAUACACCCCCUUAAAAAUGUUAGAGACUUACUCUGAACCUUUAAACAAAGAAACCUUUUUAAAACAAUUAACACUUUCCCCCUCCAUUUUAUUCUCCUUUACAGCCUACCUACCUUUGUUGCUGACUGCAUAACAGUUACAGGAUCAUUUUUGUCGCCAACUCUGGAACACUGACUUGACAUUUAUGUGAUGAACAGGAAUAUUGUCUGUCAAAUCUGCAAAUAAUGUGAUUAUUUUAGUCUGUUCUGUACACACAGUAUCUGUUGAAUACCACUCAGUCAAUAAAUGGG